Molecule: long non-coding RNA, 1773 nt
Filed under: Equus caballus (horse)
Lineage: Eukaryota; Metazoa; Chordata; Mammalia; Perissodactyla; Equidae
Description: lncRNA (ENSECAG00000035377.3)
Source: RNAcentral
CUCAAAUUUAAAAAGUAAUUGAAGAGGAGCUAGUAACUUGAUAAAGAGGAGAGAUAAGCUACUCACAGAAGAUGAAUCGAAGAAAAUGAGAGGCAAAGCUGAAAAGGAAGGUUACUAUGGCAACCAGAGAACUCACCUUUCCCCCACAGUGACAGUUAAGGUCAGAAGGAGCCCGGGGUCCCAGUUGGUGCCAUCGGAAUUGAAGAAAUCAGGACUCCAUCCAGGACACCAUGUUGCAUUCACUCAUCAUGUCUCCUCAAAUCUGUAACAGUUUUGCAGUCUUUCUUUAUUUUCCAUGACCUUGACAGUCUUGAGGAGUCCUAGGUCAUGAUGCUCAGUGCAAUUUUUUCUGUUUCUCUUGAAAACAGUCUGCCCACUUUGAAAGAGUUCCAGCAUGAAAUAUAGAGUGAUGGAUCAAGCACCACUGCUCCAGAUCUGGGAAGCACGACCGUGACAGCAUCUGAGAGACAGCAGAGAUGUAUCUAUAAGAAAAUCAAGGAAUCUGCUCUUCCCAGCCUCGCGUUCUCUUGAAUUCAUUUUUGUUCACAAACCUUGAAUAUAAACUUAUGUUUGAUUAUCGUUCACAUGUUUUGUGUGUGACAAUUUUUCUGAACUUGAGCAAAAAGUAAAAACCAACCACAACGGUUCACAUUCCCUAUUAUUAUUUUUUUGUUUUUCCAGCUGAUCAAGAGGCAGAAGAAAAGUGAGAAAGACAUUGAGGACAAACAUUUAGUUAACACACCCACACAAACCCAGCAUUGGAGGGAACAUCCUUCACUUGGGGUGACAAGUGGUGAUGACUUGUCACAGUUGUCUCAGUCUGAAGGAGACCAGGCAGGUGUAUCAUCACACAGCUUCUGCGGUGGAUGCACAGAGCCUCUAGAAGUGCUCCCAGUUCAGAGAGAGGAGCAGGGUGUGGAGAGAGCCCUCAGGCCCCCAGCCCCAGCACCGGCCUCAAGGAGAGGCGAUAAGAGGCCAGGAUGCGGUCAGGUGGGACUGCAGGUUAGGAAGGACCUUGCAGACUUCGUUGGGAUUUUGGCUCUAAUUCUGCAUGACAUGGGAAGCCCUGGGAGUAUUCUGAGCAGAGGACGGAGAGUGUCUCACAGUGUCUGCGGUGUCUGGAUGAGACCCUUAGGGACACGGCCAGCAGCAGGGGGACAGGGAAGAGCACACAUUUAGCAGCAGGGCAGCAGCCGUGGAGAUGGAAAGCAGGCAGAUUCUGGACAUGCUUUGAGGGCAGAGCCUGUAGGAUUUCCUAAGGGACUGACUGUGAGGUGGGAGAGAAAGAAGGGAGUGGAGAAUGGCUCUGGUGAUUGUUUGUUUCUUUGGUUUGAACCUAAGUAAUUCUAGUAAAUGGAAUUCUCAUUUACUGAAUUGGAAAGACUUCAGGAAAAGCAUGAUUGAUGAGGAGAGGAAAGGAGCAGGAUUUGGACACGUUAAGUCUGAGACGCUGAUUAAAUGUCUUAUUAGGGAUGCCAAGCAGUUGGUUGGAUAAAGGAGUCUGAGGUGAGGGGAGAGACUGAAAGGCAGCAGUAUGAAGGGAUGGAGUCAAGAGAGAGAGAACAGAAAAUGGGCUGCAGUCUUUGUCUGAGAGCGCUCUGACAAUAAAGUUUGGGGUGAUGAAGACAAGCUGAUAAAGGACGUGGAUAUGCCUGUCUCCGUCUAUUUGAGCUGCUAUAACAAAUGAUGAACAACAGAAAUUUAUCUUUCAUGGUUCUGUGGGCUGGCAGUCUGGGGGGCCAGCAUGGUUGGGUAAGACCCCUCUUCCUUCUC